Amphibalanus amphitrite is the source of this 878-nucleotide long non-coding RNA. RefSeq lists it as uncharacterized. The transcript has 3 exons. The record is from RefSeq and is a predicted model, not a curated record. NCBI's taxonomy places the organism in Eukaryota, Metazoa, Arthropoda, Thecostraca, Balanomorpha, Balanidae.
CGGCACAGCGGCGGCUGUGCAGGCAAGUCGGCCGAUAGCGACACAUCCGACACAGACUGGCUGGCUGAGGGCCCGCACACGACUGGAUGCGACUGACGCUGACAGCGUGGUUUCUGGGCGGUCUCCUGAUCUCUGUGUCGGCGGCACCAGAGGCACCCUCUGUGGACCGGUUAGAGGGGCUGGUGGGGGACACGGAGUCCCUCCAACCACGCCUGUUAUUCAGCGGGGGUGGCCACGGGACCUACCCCGCAGCGACCCCUGUGUACGCCCCUGCAGCUGCCCAGGAGGAGGAGGAAAACUGUCCCACUGCCUCACCAAUCAGCGCCCUCAACUUCGUCAGCCUCGUCGUGCUACUCAUACAAAUCAUCGUCAACCUCGUCAACAACAACAACAACAAUAACAAUAACAACAAUAACAACAAUAAUAAUAACGACAACAAUAAUAACAACAACAACGUGAUCAACUCCAACAAUGUUGGUGGGGAGGCGGGCGGUGCUGGUGUAGGAGGAGUGGUGAUGCCUGGAGGAAGAACAGCAGCACAGGAACGCAGGUCACGGGGUCUCAUUAAAGGACAUCACAGGACAGAUGAUCUGAAGCCACGUGAUCAACUGAUGAGGCUCAUUUCAUCUUCCGCUGGAAACACCGACAAAAAGCGACUCUCGUUAGAUGAAAUUUUCCUGCUUUACCUGAGGCUGCUGGCUGCGGAGGCUCUGUGGCCGUGCCCGCCGUGCGUGCCGCUGCCGGAUAUAUCGGCGACCACCCGCCGUGAGGCCGUCCGCCGCGACUCCUCAAUCAGCGUAUCUGGUCAGCGGCCCGUCCUGCCGACGGCAUAAACCACCGGCUCUGACCGGGAGUGGCCGGCACAUUGAUCUCCGCCG